AGAAUCAACGCUGGCGGCGUGCCUAACACAUGCAAGUCGAACGAGAAAGUGGAGCAAUCCAUGAGUAAAGUGGCGACCGGGUGAGUAACACGUGACUAACCUACCUUCGAGUGGGGGAUAACAUCGGGAAACCGAUGCUAAUACCGCAUAACAUCGCAAGAUCAAAGCAGCAAUGCGCUUGAAGAGGGGGUCGCGGCUGAUUAGCUAGUUGGCGGGGUAAUGGCCCACCAAGGCGAAGAUCGGUAUCCGGCCUGAGAGGGCGCACGGACACACUGGAACUGAAACACGGUCCAGACUCCUACGGGAGGCAGCAGUGGGGAAUUUUGCGCAAUGGGGGAAACCCUGACGCAGCAACGCCGCGUGGAGGAUGAAGCCCUUGGGGCGUAAACUCCUUUCGACCAGACGAUAAUGACGGUACUGGUGGAAGAAGCACCGGCUAACUCUGCGCCAGCAGCCGC
RNAcentral lists this ribosomal RNA (458 nucleotides) under uncultured bacterium. RNAcentral's name for it is "SSU rRNA". It matches the Rfam family "Bacterial small subunit ribosomal RNA", at positions 26 to 518 of the family's 1533-position model. The record is from RNAcentral.